GGUGCCAGCACGUGCUGGAUCCGGUGGUACAGCCCUGCCUAGGGGCUCGAUCUCGUCAAUAGAUUCUAUGUGGUGAACACUAGGUACUGAAAGCCAUCGCCUCCGGGUCGCCCGCACAGGCGGCUCCGAGGCGCCCACACCACCGCCACCUACACCUCCCCUCCGUCGCCCAGCUCCCCCGACGCCGCCGGAGGAGGCCGUCCCCGGCGGACGGCGGCGGCGAGGAACCCCUUUCCCUGCUUUUUCCCUUCCCCCACCACGAGAUCCCAUUGCCUGACACCGCAGCUGUGUGUCGGCUUGAUCUGCCGCCGGGCCUUCUGCUGCCGGACGCGGGCUCGCAGGGCUCGCCCCCUGUUGUGCGCUCUCUUGCGUCGCCCAGCUGCUGCCGAGCACGGGCUCGAAGGGCUCGGUCCCCUGCCUCGGCAAUGGCGGCUGAACUUCUUCGCCCAAUGGAAUCCUGCAAAUUCUAUGCGAUCCGGCCUAGGCGGUGGGCGCGAGGAUUCUGCAUCGCGGGAUGGAGGCCUGGAGGUGCUAAGCCAGCGCAACAGGGGCGGCCGGCAAGGUGCAGGGUGUGGUUUCCAUUGAUCUGGAACCUCGAGAUCCGGCGAUUGCAGGUCCCUAUACCGUCAGGCAUGGACUCGAUUAAGGAGGCUCUAGUGCUCUUCUCCCGCAAGGCGUCAUUCUGCUGAUCUCGGCCUUCAUCGAUCUAGCCACCGACGAGUUCCAGAAUUCUCCGCCGGAGAUCUUCACGGAUUGGCGCAUGAUGCCCCUGGAUAUCUGGAUCGGAUGAGAUCCGGUCGUGCAUGUCCAUAUAAUUGGCCCGGUGGCUUCACGAGGGCAUGACGCGAAGCUUCGCUGUCUGUUGACACCAUGGGACAUGUCGAUAUCUCGAUUUCCAUGUUGUCGACAGAGGCGGAGAAUGUCAUAAUGGCUGAGAUCUGAGGACUGAAAGGAAUGGCGAAGGUGGCCUUGGUUGGGAUGAAGAUUUUGCUUAACAGGCCGCUGUCCGGACAUGAAUGCGGAGCAAUGUUCCUGGCCAUUCCGAACACAUGGUACUUGUGAGCCUAGUGUUCGUUGACUUGCAGAAGUGGCCUCGGCAAGUGGCGGCAGCAGCACAGGAGGAAUUCAUUUUUGGUGGUGCUCCCGAAGUACCGAGUCUCGACUUUCAAGGGUGGCGUCCCCGGGGACGUGGCGGCUGGAUCCGUGAGAUGGCUGCAACAGCGGCAACCUGCGAGGUGGUUGCAACGGUGGCCAAAUCUGGGCCAGCUUGCGUCCGUGUGUCACUCAACCAUCAACGGGGUCGAAGGUGGUGCGACAAUGACGGGAAGCAAGGCGACGUGUACGACGACGAUCCUCAACCUACAUCUAGCGUCUUCUUCAACGAUCUGGGCGGACUUGGUACUCUCCCGGGCGCCAGAAUCCGGUGAGCAAGACGUCGUCCACCGGUAGCGAGGUUGUUGGCAUUAAAAAAUUUGAUGACAAGUUUGCAUAUACUUAAGGUGAAAACCCAUGAUCUUCUUCGGCUAGAUCAGGCAAUGUCGGCGCGUGAGCCUCAUGCCCUUGAUGAAGGUGUUGGCUCGAGGCUUGGCUUCGGGGAUGAAAAUCCCAUGUUCGAUCUUCGGUUGGACUUGUCAACAUAGGCACUCGUAUGACGAUCCCUUCUUGAAGGCUUUGUCUAGGGUAGCUUAUUUUUCAUUUAAUUCGGUCAUAUGUCAUAGGAUUAUGGUAGGCUUGUGGAGAUCCUGUUACAAGGCAAAUACAUGUUGGAUGGCCUCAAGUUUUCAUUUUUAUUUCUAA
Long non-coding RNA from Aegilops tauschii subsp. strangulata, 1797 nucleotides. RefSeq lists it as uncharacterized. NCBI's taxonomy places the organism in Eukaryota, Viridiplantae, Streptophyta, Magnoliopsida, Poales, Poaceae. The record is from RefSeq and is a predicted model, not a curated record.